UUGUCUUUCAAUCAUGCCUCAACGGAGCAUCAGUUUGACGUGAUUUUUGGCAAGGAUAUAGUGAAAGACCUGGAGAUUCACAUAGGCUAAUUUUUAUCCCGGAAAA
Molecule: long non-coding RNA, 106 nt
Organism: Maniola jurtina (meadow brown)
Lineage: Eukaryota; Metazoa; Arthropoda; Insecta; Lepidoptera; Nymphalidae
Exons: 3
Source: RefSeq, a predicted model, not a curated record